RNAcentral lists this transfer RNA (73 nucleotides) under Trichonephila inaurata madagascariensis. RNAcentral's name for it is "tRNA-Thr". The record is from RNAcentral. Lineage: Eukaryota; Metazoa; Arthropoda; Arachnida; Araneae; Nephilidae.
GCCCAGCCAGUAUGGUGGCUGUGACCCUCGGCUUGUAACCGAGUGGGUUCGGGUUCGAAUCCCGAGUAAGACA